This 470-nucleotide ribosomal RNA is filed under the name Bacillus sp. NYJUK. RNAcentral describes it as "bacterial SSU rRNA". It matches the Rfam family "Bacterial small subunit ribosomal RNA", at positions 39 to 483 of the family's 1533-position model. The record is from RNAcentral. Lineage: Bacteria; Bacillati; Bacillota; Bacilli; Caryophanales; Bacillaceae.
AAAAAAAAAAAUGAAAGUGCUUAACACAUGCAAGUCGAGCGAACUGAUUAGAAGCUUGCUUCUAUGACGUUAGCGGCGGACGGGUGAGUAACACGUGGGCAACCUGCCUGUAAGACUGGGAUAACUUCGGGAAACCGAAGCUAAUACCGGAUAGGAUCUUCUCCUUCAUGGGAGAUGAUUGAAAGAUGGUUUCGGCUAUCACUUACAGAUGGGCCCGCGGUGCAUUAGCUAGUUGGUGAGGUAACGGCUCACCAAGGCAACGAUGCAUAGCCGACCUGAGAGGGUGAUCGGCCACACUGGGACUGAGACACGGCCCAGACUCCUACGGGAGGCAGCAGUAGGGAAUCUUCCGCAAUGGACGAAAGUCUGACGGAGCAACGCCGCGUGAGUGAUGAGGCUUUCGGGUCGUAAAACUCUGUUGUUAGGGAAGAACAAGUACGAGAGUAACUGCUCUACUGAUCGUGCUCCAG